AUGGGUAAAGACAUGUUAAUACAGUUAUGGAUGGCAAAUGACUUUAUUGCAUCAGAAACAAGAGGCCAACAAAUUUUUGAUUUACUAGUUUGGAGAUGUUUCCUCCAAGUUGUGAACAUUCAAAAUAAUGAGCUCUGUGAAUUUCAAGAUGAGUUCAUGCACCGACCAACUACUUAUAGGAUGCAUGAUCUCAUGCAUGACCUUGCCGACUCUGUAAGCGGAAAUGAUUGUUCCAUUCUGCAAGAAUCUUCAUCAUGUCGAGAAAUUCUGCAAGGAUCCACAGGCACCAGUUCAUUACAGCAUGAGGUUCAACACCUAUCACUUGAUAAUGUGAGUUACAAUACUAUUGCAGCCAUGAAGGAAAUUCUAGCUCCCCGAGCCCGCACAAUAUUAUUAGUCCGGAAGUUGGAUUGGAGGAACGAGACUUAUCUGGAUAUGGUCAAAUCUGUGAGUAUGGCCACGUCAAAAUUCAUGUCCUUGCGAGCGACAAUCUCAAUCGAGACACAAACAAACUUGAAGCAUCUUCGCUAUCUUGAUUGCUCUUAUUCUCAUAUAUCUGGGCUGCCUGAAGCCACUGCCAAGUUGUAUAACUUGCAAACACUGAAUCUCACGGGUUGUAAAUGCCUAGAGAAAUUACCAGAAGGCAUGAGAUAUAUGAGCAGUCUUCGGCACAUCUUCCUCACUGGAGCUAACCGGUUGAGGCGCAUGCCACAAGGUAUUGGUCAGUUGAAAUCUCUAUGGACAUUGACCGAUUAUGUCAUUGAUAGUGAUGCAGACCGUGGAAUUGAUCAACUGAAAGAUUUGAAUAUAGUUGGUGCUCUUUCUUUGACUCGGCUGAGAAAAGUGCAUAGUUCGGAAAAUGCUAAACAAGCCAAUUUGACCACCAAGCAUAAUUUGAAACAAUUGUUUCUCGAUUGGUAUGUACCUGAUUGCAGAAGCCAUGGAAAUGAAGUAGAUACUAAUACAGAAGGGAUAUUAGAGGUCCUUCAUCCUCACGAAAGCUUUAGUGCUAUCAAAUUAUACUGGUGCCAAACUGUCAUCAUGGAUGCACAACUCUACACUUCUAGAACAUCUCAGUAA
This 1080-nucleotide ribosomal RNA is filed under the name Triticum aestivum (bread wheat). RNAcentral's name for it is "partial small subunit ribosomal RNA". Lineage: Eukaryota; Viridiplantae; Streptophyta; Magnoliopsida; Poales; Poaceae. The record is from RNAcentral.